RNAcentral lists this long non-coding RNA (1446 nucleotides) under Gossypium barbadense (sea-island cotton). Its description in RNAcentral is "long non-coding RNA (GBAR_LNC016717)". Lineage: Eukaryota; Viridiplantae; Streptophyta; Magnoliopsida; Malvales; Malvaceae. The record is from RNAcentral.
UAGUAUUAUUCUCAUAUAAUGGUAAUAAUAAAUUGAUUUAUAUUUUAAAGUAAAAUUGUAGAUAGGUGAACUGAUAUGGUUGGGUGUUCGACAAUGAAUGAAAUAGAUACAACAUGCUACCGCCAUGUCUAGAAAUGAGUAAUGGAUGACUUGCAUGAUUAGAUAUCUAGUAAUGUUGGUAUUGUAAUAAGCCCAAUUGCCCGGGCCCGCAUCAGAAAACCAAAUACAACAAACGGGCCUACAUGGCCCAAAACUUAUAAACCCAUAGCAGCCUAAAACCCAAAAAAAGAAACCCUAGCUUCUCUGCUCCAGUCGCCGCUCUCAACAGCAGCCACACUCGCAGCGUCCACCCUGCGCACGUCGCGGGGAUGCCUCCAGCGAGGUUCCAGGCGCCGCACGUCUCGGGCCUCCUCUCCACGCACAUGCGCCACCGAACCUGCAAAAAUAGAAACACACAAGCGCAGCAAAUAACGGAAAACAAGUGGGAUUUUUUUAUUUUGUUUAGAUUUUUGAUUUUUUCGGCUAUUUAAAGCCUUGAAAAAUCUAUAAAAAAGGGGGGGGAUUUUUGAGCUUAAACAGAGACAGAAAUAGAGAGAAAAAGAAAAUACAAAGAAAAUCAAUAGAGAAUAAAUCAACAUCGUUUUCUUUUUAAGGUGUUUAUUAGUUUUUUAAAUAUUUUAGAGUUAUUUUCCUUUUCCGAUUUGGUGUUUAAAUUUGCAAAAAGGAAAUAGGAAGGUGAGGGCUUACUUUGCCUUCGAAUCGGCUCCGAAGAGGGUUAAAAAACCCAGUCCGGCGAGCCUCCGGCCACUGGUUGCGGCGAAACCACGGCGAACGGACGGCGGCGCAAGGGAUUGGGACAAAACCCUAGCAGAGAGCAUUUGAAAUUUUUUAUUUUCUUUAUUUUUUCAUCCAGUUUCAAAUGUCUUUUUGGAAAAAAAAACUGUUUUUAUAACAGCACAAAACGGCGCCGUUUCAACCCUGCGACCCGCGCGGUGACCCGACCCGAAGGGGAGGAUCCGCGCGUUAUUGCCUUUGAUGGUAUAAUUCCGCAUAAAGCCCCUGUCCGUUUGCAGCGCAUUCCGAUCGGACCUUUUCUUUUUUAAAAUUGGGCCGCAGCUUUGAUUUUUGUUUCAAUUUGAUGCCUCGUUGCGUAGCGUUUAGGGAGGAAAGGAAUUAUUUCCUUUUUAGUCCCCCAUUAUUGAUCUUUUUAUUUAUUUUUGAAUUCGCCCCUGUCUUUUUGUCAUCUGUUCAAUUUAAUCUGUUCUUUUAAGAUUGUUUUAAUUUUUUUUUUACGUGAUUAUUUUAUUGUACUAUUAUUUGUUUUAUUAUCAUUAUAUCCUUUAUUAUUACUUCUAGAUUUAUAACAUAUAUUUUAUUGAAAUUGUUUAUUAAUACCUGCAUGCGUUUUAUAUAUAUAUAAACAUUUUCAGUAUAUAUAUACUUUUU